RNAcentral lists this ribosomal RNA (1385 nucleotides) under Enterobacter sichuanensis. RNAcentral describes it as "partial 16S ribosomal RNA". The record is from RNAcentral. Lineage: Bacteria; Pseudomonadati; Pseudomonadota; Gammaproteobacteria; Enterobacterales; Enterobacteriaceae.
CACAGAGAGCUUGCUCUCGGGUGACGAGUGGCGGACGGGUGAGUAAUGUCUGGGAAACUGCCUGAUGGAGGGGGAUAACUACUGGAAACGGUAGCUAAUACCGCAUAACGUCGCAAGACCAAAGAGGGGGACCUUCGGGCCUCUUGCCAUCAGAUGUGCCCAGAUGGGAUUAGCUAGUAGGUGGGGUAACGGCUCACCUAGGCGACGAUCCCUAGCUGGUCUGAGAGGAUGACCAGCCACACUGGAACUGAGACACGGUCCAGACUCCUACGGGAGGCAGCAGUGGGGAAUAUUGCACAAUGGGCGCAAGCCUGAUGCAGCCAUGCCGCGUGUAUGAAGAAGGCCUUCGGGUUGUAAAGUACUUUCAGCGGGGAGGAAGGUGUUGUGGUUAAUAACCGCAGCAAUUGACGUUACCCGCAGAAGAAGCACCGGCUAACUCCGUGCCAGCAGCCGCGGUAAUACGGAGGGUGCAAGCGUUAAUCGGAAUUACUGGGCGUAAAGCGCACGCAGGCGGUCUGUCAAGUCGGAUGUGAAAUCCCCGGGCUCAACCUGGGAACUGCAUUCSAAACUGGCAGGCUAGAGUCUUGUAKAGGGGGGUAGAAUUCCAGGUGUAGCGGUGAAAUGCGUAGAGAUCUGGAGGAAUACMGGWGRCGAAGGCGGCSCCCUGGASAWRSACUGACGCUCAGGUGCGAAAAGCGUGKGGAKCAWACASGAKKAGAUACCCUGSKACGUCCACKCCGCYAAAMGAUGUCGACWUGUGAGGWUGUGCUCCUKGAGGCRUGKCYUCCCCKSAGCUAAAMRMGAUUAWSUCGGACCGCCCUGGGGAGUACGGCCGCAAGGUUAAAACUCAAAUGAAUUGACGGGGGCCCGCACAAGCGGUGGAGCAUGUGGUUUAAUUCGAUGCAACGCGAAGAACCUUACCUACUCUUGACAUCCAGAGAACUUUCCAGAGAUGGAUUGGUGCCUUCGGGAACUCUGAGACAGGUGCUGCAUGGCUGUCGUCAGCUCGUGUUGUGAAAUGUUGGGUUAAGUCCCGCAACGAGCGCAACCCUUAUCCUUUGUUGCCAGCGGUUAGGCCGGGAACUCAAAGGAGACUGCCAGUGAUAAACUGGAGGAAGGUGGGGAUGACGUCAAGUCAUCAUGGCCCUUACGAGUAGGGCUACACACGUGCUACAAUGGCGCAUACAAAGAGAAGCGACCUCGCGAGAGCAAGCGGACCUCAUAAAGUGCGUCGUAGUCCGGAUUGGAGUCUGCAACUCGACUCCAUGAAGUCGGAAUCGCUAGUAAUCGUAGAUCAGAAUGCUACGGUGAAUACGUUCCCGGGCCUUGUACACACCGCCCGUCACACCAUGGGAGUGGGUUGCAAAAGAAGUAGGUAGCUUAAC